This 440-nucleotide ribosomal RNA is filed under the name uncultured soil bacterium. Its description in RNAcentral is "bacterial SSU rRNA". It matches the Rfam family "Bacterial small subunit ribosomal RNA", at positions 26 to 518 of the family's 1533-position model. The record is from RNAcentral.
AGAACGAACGCUGGCGGCAGGCCUAAUACAUGCAAGUCGAACGCACCGCAAGGUGAGUGGCAGACGGGUGAGUAACGCGUGGGAACCUUCCCAGUGGUACGGAAUAACUCCGGGAAACCGGUGCUAAUACCGUAUACGCCCUUUGGGGGAAAGAUUUAUCGCCAUUGGAUGGGCCCGCGUCGGAUUAGCUAGUUGGUGAGGUAAUGGCUCACCAAGGCUACGAUCCGUAGCUGGUCUGAGAGGAUGAUCAGCCACACUGGGACUGAGACACGGCCCAGACUCCUACGGGAGCAGCAGUAGGGAAUAUUGGACAAUGGGCGAAAGCCUGAUCCAGCAAUGCCGCGUGAGUGAUGAAGGCCUUAGGUGUAAAGCUCUUUACCGGAUGAUAAUGACAGUACCGGAGAAUAACGCCCGGUCUAACGUCCGUAGCCAGCAGCCGC